UACGGAAGGCAGCAGUAGGGAAUCUUCCGCAAUGGACGAAAGUCUGACGGAGCAACGCCGCGUGAACGAUGAAGGCUUUCGGGUCGUAAAGUUCUGUUGUUAGGGAAGAACAAGUACCGGAGUAACUGCCGGUACCUUGACGGUACCUAACCAGAAAGCCACGGCUAACUACGUGCCAGCAGCCGCGGUAAUACGUAGGUGGCAAGCGUUGUCCGGAAUUAUUGGGCGUAAAGCGCGCGCAGGCGGUCCUUUAAGUCUGAUGUGAAAGCCCACGGCUCAACCGUGGAGGGUCAUUGGAAACUGGGGACUUGAGUGCAGAAGAGGAGAGUGGAAUUCCACGUGUAGCGGUGAAAUGCGUAGAGAUGUGGAGGAACACCAGUGGCGAAGGCGACUCUCUGGUCUGUACUGACGCUGAGGCGCGAAAGCGUGGGGAGCGAACAGGGAUUAGAUACCCGU
This 456-nucleotide ribosomal RNA is filed under the name uncultured bacterium. RNAcentral's name for it is "bacterial SSU rRNA". It matches the Rfam family "Bacterial small subunit ribosomal RNA", at positions 340 to 789 of the family's 1533-position model. The record is from RNAcentral.